This 200-nucleotide ribosomal RNA is filed under the name uncultured bacterium. RNAcentral's name for it is "partial 16S ribosomal RNA". It matches the Rfam family "Bacterial small subunit ribosomal RNA", at positions 524 to 721 of the family's 1533-position model. The record is from RNAcentral.
UACGGAGGGUGCGAGCGUUGUCCGGAAUCACUGGGCGUAAAGGGCGCGUAGGCGGCGCGGGGAGUCAACGGUGAAAGCUCGGCGCUCAACGCCGAGUCGGCCGUCGAUACUCCCGUGCUCGAGCACUGUAGAGGCAGGUGGAAUUCCGGGUGUAGCGGUGGAAUGCGUAGAGGAUCCGGAAGAACACCGGGUGGCGAAGG